CCUCUCGCACAUGCACAUCUCCCCGACGGCUUCGCCUCACCAGCGGCAGGCCACCCCGCGCCCAACUAGCCUCGCCUCGCACCGGAGGCGGCCGGAAGCAGGCCAACCCUCCACCCGACUCGCCUCGCCUCGCACCGGAGGCGGCCGGUGGCAGGUCGGACCCCCCCUCCCCUCGCCGCUGCGGCCAUCUACCACCACCAUCCUCGCCGCUCCCUCCCUCGCCCACCCAUAUCUAGACGCCUAACCGGGAGAGGAGGAGGGGGUUGACAAGGAGAGAGCAGUCAGCCGGUGGCAGCGGCGGCUCCGAGUACAGCCACACCGAGCGGCCCAUCCAAGAAACCAGCCCUGCCGCCCUGCUGCUCCCAACCCCCCUGAGUCUCAACCUCGCCGCCUAUUCUGGUCGAUGUUGUGAUUGACAAUAACCAGGAAUAUUUCACCGCUCAGUUCAUCCAUUUGAAUCCUUCUGCUGUAAUUCUGUUACCUACCCUUUCUUACUUGCAGGAAAUUCAAGUGGGUACACAUAAAGACGAUCACGGUGGAGGAGAUCUCGACGGUCGAUGUGAAGCUGGGGCGGAAGAAGGGCACGAAUAUCACCUUCCUAGAAGGAACGAUCUGAUUUUUCUGUCUUAUUUGCAGCGUAAACUAUGUUUACCAUUCAUUCUGUCCAGGAGCAUCCAGACAGGGAGGUGCUUCACACCCUGCGUCUAGGCAUGUACUGCAACGCCAACCACAUGGCAAAGAUUGCUGACAACUGUUAAGAGAAAGCAAACAACUGAGGAGGAACAAUCUUGUUUGUGCCUAAUGAUGGUUGCCUGAACCUGACACCAGAUACCAUGACAACCUUGAACUUGGACACCAGGGAUAUCUCCCACGGCGUGCCUCUUUAGACCAAAUCCAGCAAUCAACACCUCAUCAAUUUGCUCCAUGAAGUUCAGGAACCAUCAUUAAGCACAAACAAGAUUGUUCCUCCUCGGUUGCUGGCCCUUUAGUCAUAAAAAAUGAUGUGUUGUGCUGGUUAGCAAGUUUUAUCUCCCCCGUGGAUGCAGAUUUCAGAAUAUAUUCAUUUUUUCAGUACGAUAGCUUGCAAGUUGCAAUGUACCACAAAGCUAGCUAUUAGCUGACCUAUCUUUUCUGGUUGGAGCGUGUUUGAUUUCCAACAAAACAAUUCAUCCAGCUAUCCUUUCUAU
Molecule: non-coding RNA, 1187 nt
Organism: Triticum urartu
Lineage: Eukaryota; Viridiplantae; Streptophyta; Magnoliopsida; Poales; Poaceae
Source: RefSeq, a predicted model, not a curated record